CCUCCCAUGGCCCAGGUGGACUGUGAACCUUCUGGGACGAGGGCUGUAAUCACUUCAUCCUGGGAUGAGCUCAGCCUGGCAGGAGGCGCUCAAGAUGUGCUAAGUAACCCAAGUAAGUAGCCCCUAGACCCCCAAGACUCAGGAGUCCUGACCCCCAGCCAGAGGUGCACGGACCCAGCUGACACCGGCCAGCCAGAGCUGAUGUGCACAGACCCUUCUACCUCUGCACUCCGUGACGCCAGGGAGCCUGUUGUUAAACGCUCAGCAGCACGUCGCUGCUCCCAGCCUUCCAUCUGUCCUGCUCUCCAGGCCAGGAGCCCCUGUCAUGAGGUCCAGGGAGCCCUGGAGUCUGGAGAUAAAUCGUGACAAGACACAAGGCCGUGGAUGGGGCAUCACUGCUGCCCAAGCCACCCUGGGUCCCCAGCCCCGGACCUUCCCAUCUCCACACCAAGGCCCCUGUCCCAGACAAGAGCAUGGUCCCCAGCUCUACAUAACUCAGGAACUGAGAACCCCAGGUGUGGAGCCACACGGACUCGGGCAUGGCUCUGGGCAAGUCACUUUCACUGCCUGGGCUACAGUGACCUUGUCUGCAGCAAGGGAAUCAGCAAAGAGCAUGACCCUAAAGCCACACUUGUGCUGUUCACCUUCAAGUUCUGACCAGGGGACCCCAA
Long non-coding RNA from Pongo pygmaeus (Bornean orangutan), 671 nucleotides. RefSeq lists it as uncharacterized. The transcript has 3 exons. The record is from RefSeq and is a predicted model, not a curated record. NCBI's taxonomy places the organism in Eukaryota, Metazoa, Chordata, Mammalia, Primates, Hominidae.